This is a long non-coding RNA of Seriola aureovittata, 1049 nucleotides long. RefSeq lists it as uncharacterized. Lineage: Eukaryota; Metazoa; Chordata; Actinopteri; Carangiformes; Carangidae. The transcript is spliced from 3 exons. The record is from RefSeq and is a predicted model, not a curated record.
AUGCAGACGGCAGUGUUUCUCCUCACUGUUCUGAGUCUGGUCUCUGUCAGUGUAAAGACGGAGGUGCAGGGAGGCGCUGUGACUCCUGUUUACCUGGAUACACCUGGAGAGGAGGCAAGGCCAGCUGCACAGUGAACGUUUGUGACGGGGAGCGUUUGAUUUGUCAGAACGGAGGAACUUGCGUUGACUUCCAGCGCUGCCUCUGUCCAGAUAACUUCACAGGUACAUUAUGCGAGAAAAGUGUCUGUCUGAAGAAGAGUGGUUGCCCCGACAACGCUGAAGGCUCCUCAUCGUCUCUGACCUCACACCUUUACCUGCUGACCCUUAGUCUGAUCACCUCCACCUCCCGCUGAGCCCGCCCACUGAGCUGAGGCCACGCCUGCUGAUGACAUCACAGAGUGAUAAAAAUUUAACACGAUAUAAAACCAAGAAGAACCAGUUUACAUUUUACUGACUGUUGUUUAUUGUUGUUUUUUUUUUACUGAAAUCCACCUGUCACCUGUUGGAACAGGAUAUGACAUCACAUCCUGUUCCUGUGUGUAACUGUUUCACAAGCAAACUGAGGACACUGUUUUUAAAGUGUGUGGUCUGUAAAGUUUCUGCGUCUGUACCGCUGAAGAAAAGAUCCUCAAAGCAACGACUUUCAUUGUGAAAUUCUCUCUUUGCCUUUCCUGCUGCUUGAACGUGUGGACUCAGGUGUCUGUGACAUGUUAAACUACCUGAGGACUCAGAUUCAAACUCAGACAACUUUAUUUAACGAACCAUUAGCAGCUAACCAGACGAGCAGCAGUUAAUGAAAUAAAACAUCCUGUUAGAGCUGCUGGAAAUAAAGAACUAUAUAAACAUGAACACAGAGGAUGUAGCUGUCAUUUAAAAAAUAAUGUAGUUAUUAUUGCAUUAUAAUAAAGUUUACUUAUAGAGCACUGAUCACAUAUUACAAGAGUGUCAGAAGGAAAAAAUAAAACAAACUAUUUAAGAUUUAAAACAGACAUACAGUUCUCAAAUCCCUCCUCUCUCUCUCUCUCUCUCUCUCUCUCUCUCUCUCUCUC